GACGAACGCUGGCGGCGUGCCUAACACAUGCAAGUCGAACGGAGUUACCCUUCGGGGUAGCUUAGUGGCGAACGGGUGAGUAACGCGUGAAGAACCUGCCUUUCAGUGGGGGACAACAGUUGGAAACGACUGCUAAUACCGCAUAAUGUCAUUUGGGGGCAUCCCCGAAUGACCAAAGAUUUAUUGCUGAAAGAUGGUCUCGCGUCUGAUUAGCUAGUUGGUGAGGUAACGGCUCACCAAGGCGACGAUCAGUAGCCGGUCUGAGAGGAUGAACGGCCACAUUGGGACUGAGAUACGGCCCAGACUCCUACGGGAGGCAGCAGUGGGGAAUAUUGGGCAAUGGGGGAAACCCUGACCCAGCAACGCCGCGUGAAGGAAGAAGGCCUUCGGGUUGUAAACUUCUUUUACCAGGGACGAACAAAUGACGGUACCUGGAGAAAAAGCAACGGCUAACUACGUG
Molecule: ribosomal RNA, 460 nt
Filed under: uncultured bacterium
Lineage: Bacteria
Description: bacterial SSU rRNA
Rfam family: Bacterial small subunit ribosomal RNA
Source: RNAcentral